GGCUCAACCGGGGAGGGUCAUUGGAAACUGGGAAACUUGAGUGCAGAAGAGGAGAGUGGAAUUCCACGUGUAGCGGUGAAAUGCGUAGAGAUGUGGAGGAACACCAGUGGCGAAGGCGACUCUCUGGUCUGUAACUGACGCUGAGGAGCGAAAGCGUGGGGAGCGAACAGGAUUAGAUACC
This 181-nucleotide ribosomal RNA is filed under the name Bacillus aerius. Its description in RNAcentral is "partial 16S ribosomal RNA". It matches the Rfam family "Bacterial small subunit ribosomal RNA", at positions 606 to 786 of the family's 1533-position model. The record is from RNAcentral. Lineage: Bacteria; Bacillati; Bacillota; Bacilli; Caryophanales; Bacillaceae.